RNAcentral lists this ribosomal RNA (372 nucleotides) under Faecalibacterium prausnitzii. Its description in RNAcentral is "bacterial SSU rRNA". It matches the Rfam family "Bacterial small subunit ribosomal RNA", at positions 1171 to 1533 of the family's 1533-position model. Lineage: Bacteria; Bacillati; Bacillota; Clostridia; Eubacteriales; Oscillospiraceae. The record is from RNAcentral.
AGGUGGGGAUGACGUCAAAUCAUCAUGCCCCUUAUGACCUGGGCUACACACGUGCUACAAUGGUUGGUACAAAGAGAAGCGAAGCGGUGACGUGGAGCAAACCUCAUAAAGCCAAUCUCAGUUCGGAUUGUAGGCUGCAACUCGCCUACAUGAAGUUGGAAUCGCUAGUAAUCGCGAAUCAGCAUGUCGCGGUGAAUACGUUCCCGGGUCUUGUACACACCGCCCGUCACACCACGAGAGUUUACAACACCCGAAGUCAGUGGCCUAACCGCAAGGAGGGAGCUGCCUAAGGUGGGGUAGAUGAUUGGGGUGAAGUCGUAACAAGGUAUCCCUACCGGAAGGUGGGGAUGGAUCACCUCCUUUCUAUGGAGA